UGCACCCAAAUUAUGACAAAAAGACACGAAUUGCGGUGGAACUCAUAUUAUUAAUUUUCAUAUAAUACAUGUAUACAUCGAUCGUUGUAUUUUUUUUAAGACAGUCAAGCGUGUCUUACUAUUAAAAGUAAAACAAACAAGACAUUAGAACAUGAUUGGUAAUUGGAACAUUUAAACAAAGCGUGCAUGCAUGAGAAUUAGCAUAAUGGGAUAUCUCAAUGCUGCUAUUUUGCAUGCAUGGUAGUAUGCAGAUGAUGUUGCGCGUGAAUAGGUGUUUAAGGCACCACUUAGGCACCAUUUUUGUUGGCGGCCUGCUGAGAGAUGGCCCCGUACUUCAUUGCAUCAGCCUCAGAUUUCACGGCAUCCUUCUUAGCGGGUGGUGCCUCUUCAGGUCUGGUGGCGGUUUCAGCCUUCUUGUUGGACUUCUCGGCAGCAGCUAUGCACGCAUCUGCCAAGGUACCGACAGCUUCUUUCCUGUUGGGGGUGGUAGAAGAACUUGUACCAGCUGCUUGCUGAGAAAUGACACCAUACUUUGAUGCAGCAGCGGUAGACUUGGCUGCAGCUCGCUUGGCAGCCACGGCCUCUUCAGGUGUGGUAGCGGUUUCAGCCUUCUUGGUGAUCAUCUUACCAUCAGCAGUGUGCAUAGCUGCCAAGUCAGUGGUGGCUUCUUUCCUAUUGGGGGCGGUAGAAGAACUUGUACCAGCUGCUUUCCGAGAGAUGGCACCAUACUUUAAUGAAUCGUCAACAGACUUUGUUGCGUCUCGCUUGGCAGCCACGACCUUUUCAGGUGUCGUGGCGGUUUCAGCCUUCUUGAUGGACUUCUCGGUGGCAGCAUAGUGUGCGGCAGCUAAAGUACCGGCUGCUUCUUUCCUGCCUGGGGAGAUAGAAGAACCUUUACCAUUUGCCUGCUGAGAGAUGGCAUUGUACUUUAAUACAGCAGAAGCAGAUUUUGCUCCAUCUUGCUUGGCAGCCACGUCCUCUUUUGGUGUGGUGGCGCUUUCAGCCUUCUUGAUGGACUUCUCGGUGGCAACAACACGUGUAGCUGCUAAUGUAGCGUCAACCCCUUUCCUGCUAGGGGUAGCCAUCUUCAAUGUGUUCUCCUCCGCAGCGCCAUAGGU
RNAcentral lists this long non-coding RNA (1118 nucleotides) under Triticum aestivum (bread wheat). RNAcentral's name for it is "long non-coding RNA (TAES_LNC011112)". Lineage: Eukaryota; Viridiplantae; Streptophyta; Magnoliopsida; Poales; Poaceae. The record is from RNAcentral.